Piliocolobus tephrosceles (Ugandan red Colobus) is the source of this 975-nucleotide long non-coding RNA. RefSeq lists it as uncharacterized. Lineage: Eukaryota; Metazoa; Chordata; Mammalia; Primates; Cercopithecidae. The transcript is spliced from 3 exons. The record is from RefSeq and is a predicted model, not a curated record.
GUUAGCCAGGAUGGUCUCGAUCUCCUGACCUAGUGAUCCGCCCGUCUCGGCCUCCCAAAGUGCUGGUAUUACAGGCGUGAGCCACUGCUCCCGGCCAUAAUGUGCAUUUCUUACCCUGGCCUGUGAGGGCCUGCAGAAUCUUGCUCCAUACUCUCUCCAAUCUGAUGCUGUACCAUUCCAUUUUUGCUCAUGACGUCUGGCUACACCAGCUCCUUGCUGCUCCUGGAACAGUCCAAGCCAUUGCCAUCUUCUGGGUAUUCAUACUUGUUUCCCCUACCCGAAGCAUUCUUCCCCUAGCUCCUUUCAUAUCCAAAUUAUUCUCAUCCUUUGGGUUUUCCCUUACUUUCCUGAUUAUCUUGUCAGAAGUAGUUCCCUCUACUACAGAGAAGGAUGCAUCAGCUUGUCACUGUUCAUUCCCCAGUGCCUAAUAUAAUGCUUUGGCAAAGCAUAAGUACCAGAUAAAUAUUUCUUGAAAGAAGAUUGAAUGAAUGGAUGAAUGAUGAACACAUUUCAAAAUCACUUGCCUUUCUGUUCAUUUUUUGAAAUGUAGUUAAAUAUGGUAAAUCUUUCCUGAGUAAUUUAGACUCUUUGGUUUGUUAAACAAAUUUUAUGUUAGACAGUUACUUCUGCUAAUGUGUUCUUUUUAAAAUCAUGCUUAGGAAUUCCAUAUUUAAAUCAGGAAGAAGAAAGACAGUUAAGAGAGCAGUAUGAUGAAAAACUUUCACAGGCGAAUGGUGCAGGAGCUCUGUCCUAUGUAUCUCCUAACACUUCAAAAUGUCCUGUCACGAUUCCUGAGGAUCAAAAGAAAUUUAUUGACCAAGUGGUAGAGAAAAUAGAAGAUUUAUUACAAAGUGAAGAAAACAAGAACUUGGAUUUAGAGCCAUGUACCGGGUUCCAAAGAAAACUAAUGUAUCAGACUUUGAGCUGGAAGUAAGUAUUUAUAUUGUAUACAGGAGCUCUGUGGGGGACCCAGGA